RNAcentral lists this ribosomal RNA (479 nucleotides) under uncultured bacterium. RNAcentral's name for it is "bacterial SSU rRNA". It matches the Rfam family "Bacterial small subunit ribosomal RNA", at positions 29 to 507 of the family's 1533-position model. The record is from RNAcentral.
ACGAACGCUGGCGGCGUGCCUAACACAUGCAAGUCAACUUGACUGAAGGAGCAAUCUGACAGUAGAGUGGCGCAAGGGUGCGUAACGCGUAAGUAACUUGCCCCAAGGUAAGGAAUAACGUCGAGAAAUCGGCGCUAAUACCUCAUAAUGCAGCGGAUCCGCAUGGAUAUGUUGUUAAAGGUUUACCGCCUUGGGAUAGGCUUGCGUCUGAUUAGCUAGUUGGUGUGGUAACGGCACACCAAGGCUACGAUCAGUAACUGGUCUGAGAGGAUGAUCAGUCACACUGGAACUGAGACACGGUCCAGACUCCUACGGGAGGCAGCAGUGAGGAAUAUUGGGCAAUGCUCGAAAGAGUGACCCAGCAACGCCGCGUGGAGGAUGAAGGUAUUCUAUAUCGUAAACUCCUGUGAGAGCAGACGAAAGACAGAUUAUUAAUCUGGAUGACUGUAUGCUCAGAAGAAGCCCCGGCUAACUACGUG